Molecule: long non-coding RNA, 481 nt
Organism: Heterocephalus glaber (naked mole-rat)
Lineage: Eukaryota; Metazoa; Chordata; Mammalia; Rodentia; Bathyergidae
Source: RefSeq, a predicted model, not a curated record
CGGGCGUCGGCGGGACGUCAGCGCGUACGCAAAGCGUAGCUACCGCACACUUCUCUCACACCCUGGCUUCUACGCAUUCGUUUGUCCUCUGAGCCGUCUGACUGAGAAGAGGCAAGCUGUUAGGUGGCGAUAUGGGAACGCAGCGUUUUCCAUCAAAACCGGAGAGGCCUAGGAAGAGAUUAUCUCCACCUUGAACUUCCUCAGCAGCCUGACUAUCGUUCAUUAGAGUGCAAGGACCAAAAUAGAAGGAACACUAACAAGACAGGCAGACUUGAAAUUCUUUGUCUAGGAGGCUGAGGUCCUGUAAACUUUCAUUAUGCUCCACUCAUUACUCUCUUUGGUGAAAAUGCAACUCUGUAUGAUCUUCUCCAUUCUCAUAGCUUCAACCACCACCUGCCUGUAUUCUGGACUCUCUGCUUCUAUUGUUUUCCCACUCCAGCUGGAUAAUAGGAACUCAAUGAAUAUUCAUUGAAUAAAUGAG